Molecule: ribosomal RNA, 429 nt
Filed under: Chloroflexota bacterium
Lineage: Bacteria; Bacillati; Chloroflexota
Description: Chloroflexi bacterium partial 16S ribosomal RNA
Rfam family: Bacterial small subunit ribosomal RNA
Source: RNAcentral
UGGGGAAUAUUGCACAAUGGGCGCAAGCCUGAUGCAGCCAUGCCGCGUGUAUGAAGAAGGCCUUCGGGUUGUAAAGUACUUUCAGCGGGGAGGAAGGGAGUAAAGUUAAUACCUUUGCUCAUUGACGUUACCCGCAGAAGAAGCACCGGCUAACUCCGUGCCAGCAGCCGCGGUAAUACGGAGGGUGCAAGCGUUAAUCGGAAUUACUGGGCGUAAAGCGCACGCAGGCGGUUUGUUAAGUCAGAUGUGAAAUCCCCGGGCUCAACUUGGGAACUGCAUCUGAUACUGGCAAGCUUGAGUCUCGUAGAGGGGGGUAGAAUUCCAGGUGUAACGGUGAAAUGCGUAGAGAUCUGGAGGAAUACCGGUGGCGAAGGCGGCCCCCUGGACGAAGACUGACGCUCAGGUGCGAAAGCGUGGGGAGCAAACAGG